This 305-nucleotide ribosomal RNA is filed under the name uncultured bacterium. Its description in RNAcentral is "bacterial SSU rRNA". It matches the Rfam family "Bacterial small subunit ribosomal RNA", at positions 337 to 659 of the family's 1533-position model. The record is from RNAcentral.
CCCUACGGGAGGCAGCAGUGGGGGAUAUUGCACAAUGGGGGAAACCCUGAUGCAGCGACGCCGCGUGUGGGAAGACGGUCCUCUGGAUUGUAAACCACUGUCCCCAGGGACGAAAAUGACGGUACCUGGGGAGGAAGCUCCGGCUAACUACGUGCCAGCAGCCGCGGUAAUACGUAGGGAGCGAGCGUUGUCCGGAAUUACUGGGUGUAAAGGGAGCGUAGGCGGGGAUGCAAGUUGGGUGUCAAAACUACCGGCUCAACUGGUAGUCGCACUCAAAACUGCAGCUCUUGAGCGAAGUAGAGGCA